UACGAAGGGGGCUAGCGUUGUUCGGAAUUACUGGGCGUAAAGCGCACGUAGGCGGAUCGGUCAGUUAGGGGUGAAAUCCCGGGGCUCAACCCCGGAACUGCCUCUAAUACUGCCGAUCUAGAGUUCGAGAGAGGUGAGUGGAAUUCCGAGUGUAGAGGUGAAAUUCGUAGAUAUUCGGAGGAACACCAGUGGCGAAGGCGGCUCACUGGCUCGAUACUGACGCUGAGGUGCGAAAGCGUGGGGAGCAAACAGGAUUAGAUACCCGGGUAGUCCCUGA
Molecule: ribosomal RNA, 277 nt
Filed under: uncultured prokaryote
Description: partial 16S ribosomal RNA
Rfam family: Bacterial small subunit ribosomal RNA
Source: RNAcentral